RNAcentral lists this transfer RNA (67 nucleotides) under Dilophus febrilis. RNAcentral describes it as "tRNA-Trp". Lineage: Eukaryota; Metazoa; Arthropoda; Insecta; Diptera; Bibionidae. The record is from RNAcentral.
AAAGCUUUAAGUUAAAAUAAACUUAUAGCCUUCAAAGUUAUCAAUAAAAUAAUUAUUUUAAGCUUUA